UCCUGGCUCAGAUUGAACGCUGGCGGCAUGCUUUACACAUGCAAGUCGAGCGGCAGCGCGGGGGCAACCCUGGCGGCGAGCGGCGAACGGGUGAGUAAUGCAUCGGAACGUACCCUGGAGUGGGGGAUAACGCCGCGAAAGCGGCGCUAAUACCGCAUAUGCUCUGAGGAGGAAAGUGGAGGACCGCAAGGCCUCACGCUCUGGGAGCGGCCGAUGUCCGAUUAGCUAGUUGGUGAGGUAAAAGGCUUACCAAGGCGACGAUCGGUAGCUGGUCUGAGAGGAUGAUCAGCCACACUGGGACUGAGACACGGCCCAGACUCCUACGGGAGGCAGCAGUGGGGAAUUUUGGACAAUGGGGGCAACCCUGAUCCAGCCAUGCCGCGUGAGUGAAGAAGGCCUUCGGGUUGUAAAGCUCUUUUGGUCGGGAAGAAAGUGCCCUGCUUAAUACGCGGGGUAUUUGACGGUACCGGCAGAAUAAGCACCGGCUAACUACGUG
Molecule: ribosomal RNA, 496 nt
Filed under: uncultured bacterium
Lineage: Bacteria
Description: bacterial SSU rRNA
Rfam family: Bacterial small subunit ribosomal RNA
Source: RNAcentral